Non-coding RNA from Equus caballus (horse), 1273 nucleotides. The record is from RefSeq and is a predicted model, not a curated record. Lineage: Eukaryota; Metazoa; Chordata; Mammalia; Perissodactyla; Equidae.
CCCCCCAGUUAUUUUAACCAAAAAUGUCUCCAGACAUUGCCAAAUAUUCCCCGAGGGCAAAACCGCCCCAUUGAGAACCACCGCCUCAGAGGGAGCCAAUUCCGCCUUGGACACCACAGAGAAGCAAUCUGUAGAUAGUCAAUAGUUAAGAUAGUCAAUAGUGAAUAAUUGAGACUUCGUCGUUUCUGUGGCAACUACUCAACUCUGCCACUGUACCUCAACAGCAGCCAUAGACAAUUGAUACACAAAUAAGGGUUACUUGUUCCAGUAAAACUUCAUUUACAAAAACAGGCUGGCGCACGGGCUGUCGUUUGCUCUUUCCCACUAUAAAGCAAAUGCAGCAUGAGCAGCAGCAGAGUAUCCUCUUUAGAUAUGUCACACUGUUACAGUGCCAUACAACCUGGGACUGAUCUAACAUAUAGGCAGCUUGGACUUUGUGGACAUGUGGACUGUGAGAAGGGCCCCUAUGAAGCCCUCUGCCUCAUAGGCUAGGCAUGGUGCCUGCAACAUCACAAUGGAAGGGUCAUCUUGCAGAGAGUCAAGCAUGGCUUGUUGACCAGUAUCCUCUCCAGAAGAGCACAAUCCUAGAAGAGGGCUAGAAGAUAAAGCUGUUUUCAGGCUGGGCUUGGAGAGAUAUGCAGCUUCGACCUGUGCUGCUUAGAACAUCCCCUCCUGGAACCCCGCGAUGCUGUGAGAAGCCCACACUACAUGGCGAGACCACAUGGGGGAAAACUGAGACACUCUGAUCAACAGCCCAGUGCUUCUCUCUGCUGACAGCCAGCAUUGAUGUCCAGCCAAGUCUGCCAGCAUGACCCUGGGAACACACGACACCCCACCACCCCUGAAGACAAUUCCUGCUGAUGACCUGAUGGGAAUGCCCAAGUCCAUCCCCAAGGCCGAGCAGAGCCCUACCACCUCCUGGAAGCCUCCUCUGACCUCCCGGGCAUUGUCUCUACUUUCUCUGAAAUUCUACAGCGUGAAGUCUGUUCACUUUUUUGGCUGUUAGUCCAUUGGCUUUUUAAUGAGCUCUUUGGGAGCUCUUUCAAGUUGAGGGCCUCACUUCAUAUUUCUCUGGGCUCCCCAGUGACUUAAUUUGUUCUCAAUAAAUGUUAGUCCGCUAAUUGAUGGCUAAACCUCUAAAGAUUUGUGAGAGUAAUUUUUGGGAAGAUCAAAGGGAUAACAAUGGGAAAGUGUGUUGAAAGCUUUUAUAAGAGCCUGAUGUUACCGCCCCUGCACCUCUACGAAAAUAACAACAACUGCUGGGGCCGGCCCA